UACGUAGGGGCCGAGCGUUGUCCGGAAUUACUGGGCGUAAAGCGCGCGCAGGCGGCGCCUCAAGCCCGACGUGAAAGCCCCCGGCUCAACCGGGGAGGGUCGUCGGGGACUGGGGCGCUUGAGGGCGGUAGGGGCCGGUGGAAUUCCCGGUGUAGUGGUGAAAUGCGUAGAGAUCGGGAGGAACACCAGUAGCGAAGGCGGCCGGCUGGGCCGACCCUGACGCUGAGGCGCGAAGGCGUGGGGAGCGAACGGG
This 253-nucleotide ribosomal RNA is filed under the name uncultured bacterium. RNAcentral's name for it is "partial 16S ribosomal RNA". It matches the Rfam family "Bacterial small subunit ribosomal RNA", at positions 524 to 776 of the family's 1533-position model. The record is from RNAcentral.